Molecule: ribosomal RNA, 251 nt
Filed under: uncultured bacterium
Lineage: Bacteria
Description: partial 16S ribosomal RNA
Rfam family: Bacterial small subunit ribosomal RNA
Source: RNAcentral
UACGGAGGGAGCUAGCGUUGUUCGGAAUUACUGGGCGUAAAGCGCGCGUAGGCGGCUUUGUAAGUUAGAGGUGAAAGCCCGGGGCUCAACCCCCGGAACUGCCUUUAAGACUGCAUCGCUUGAACAUCGGAGAGGUGAGUGGAAUUCCGAGUGUAGAGGUGAAAUUCGUAGAUAUUCGGAAGAACACCAGUGGCGAAGGCGACUCACUGGACUGGUAUUGACGCUGAGGUGCGAAAGCGUGGGGGAGCAAA